UGGCUCAGAUGGUAAAGCAUCUGCCUACAAUGCAGGAGACCCGGGUUUGAUCCCUGG
This 57-nucleotide transfer RNA is filed under the name Muntiacus reevesi (Reeves' muntjac). It matches the Rfam family "tRNA", at positions 8 to 63 of the family's 71-position model. Rfam says of the family: Transfer RNA (tRNA) molecules are approximately 80 nucleotides in length. RNAcentral also lists the same sequence under 2 other names. The record is from Rfam by way of RNAcentral. Lineage: Eukaryota; Metazoa; Chordata; Mammalia; Artiodactyla; Cervidae.